This 2810-nucleotide ribosomal RNA is filed under the name mouse gut metagenome. Its description in RNAcentral is "bacterial LSU rRNA". It matches the Rfam family "Bacterial large subunit ribosomal RNA", at positions 1 to 2460 of the family's 2925-position model. The record is from RNAcentral.
UUAAGUUAUUAAGGGCGCAUGGUGGAUGCCUUGGCACUAGGAGCCGAUGAAGGACGUGACUAACUGCGAUAAGCUUCGGGGAGUUGUAAGUAAACUGUGAUCCGGAGAUUUCCGAAUGGGGAAACCCAGCAGGAGUAAAGACCUGUUAUCACUGAGUGAAUACAUAGCUCAGUUGAAGGUAGACGUGGGGAACUGAAACAUCUAAGUACCCAUAGGAAGAGAAAGAAAAUUCGAUUCCCUGAGUAGCGGCGAGCGAAAAGGGAACAGCCCAAACCAGAGAGCUUGCUCUCUGGGGUUGUAGGACUGGACAUUUGAGUUACCAAGAAACGAAGUAGUUGAAUGAUUUGGGAAGAUCAGCCAGAGAAGGUGAUAGCCCUGUAAGCGAAACUUCGUUUCCUCAGCCCAGUAUCCUGAGUACGGCGGAACACGUGAAACUCCGUCGGAAUCCGGGAGGACCAUCUCCCAAGGCUAAAUACUCCCUAGUGACCGAUAGUGAACCAGUACCGUGAGGGAAAGGUGAAAAGCACCCCGGGAGGGGAGUGAAAUAGUUCCUGAAACCAUGUGCCUACAAGUAGUCAGAGCCCGUUAAUGGGUGAUGGCGUGCCUUUUGUAGAAUGAACCGGCGAGUUACGUUAGCGUGCGAGGUUAAGGCGCAAAGGCCGGAGCCGUAGCGAAAGCGAGUCUGAAUAGGGCGAAUGAGUACGUUGACGUAGACCCGAAACCAGGUGACCUACCCAUGUCCAGGUUGAAGGUGCGGUAAGACGCACUGGAGGACCGAACCCGUGUAUGUUGAAAAAUGCUGGGAUGAGGUGUGGGUAGAGGUGAAAUUCCAAACGAACUUGGAGAUAGCUGGUUCUCUCCGAAAUAGCUUUAGGGCUAGCCUCGGAGUUAAGGAUCGUGGAGGUAGAGCACUGUUUGGACUAGGGGCCCGUCUUGGGUUACUGAAUUCAGAUAAACUCCGAAUGCCACAGAUCUAUAUCCGGGAGUCAGACUGCGAGUGAUAAGAUCCGUAGUCGAAAGGGAAACAGCCCAGACCACCGAUUAAGGUCCCUAAAUAUGUGUUAAGUGGAAAAGGAUGUGGAAUUGCACAGACAACUAGGAUGUUGGCUUAGAAGCAGCCACCAUUUAAAGAGUGCGUAAUAGCUCACUAGUCGAGUGAUCCUGCGCCGAAAAUGUAACGGGGCUAAACACAUUACCGAAAUCGUGGAUGCAACUAUGUUGCAUGGUAGGAGAGCGUUCUAAGGGCGAUGAAGCUAGACCGUAAGGACUGGUGGAGCGCUUAGAAGUGAGAAUGCCGGUAUGAGUAGCGAAAGAUCAGUGAGAAUCUGGUCCACCGUAUGACUAAGGUUUCCUGGGGAAGGCUCGUCCUCCCAGGGUUAGUCGGGACCUAAGCCGAGGCCGAGAGGCGUAGGCGAUGGAUAACAGGUUGAGAUUCCUGUACUGGUUUGAUUUGUUUGAACGAUGGAGGGACGCAGGAGGCUAGAGAUGCGUGCUGUUGGAUAUGCACGUCCAAGCAACAAGUCUGAUGAUGAGUCAAAUGCUUAUCGUCUUAAGGACAAGUUGUGACGGGGAGCGAAAUUAAAGUAGCGAAGUGAUCGAUGUCACACUGCCGAGAAAAGCUUCUAGUUAGGAUCAGACCACCCGUACCGCAAACCGACACAGGUAGUCGAGGCGAGUAGCCUAAGGUGAGCGAGAGAACUCUCGUUAAGGAACUCGGCAAAAUGACCCCGUAACUUCGGGAGAAGGGGUGCUGCACAAUGUGCAGCCGCAGUGAAUAGGCCCAGGCGACUGUUUAUCAAAAACACAGGUUUCUGCAAAAUCGUAAGAUGAAGUAUAGGGGCUGACGCCUGCCCGGUGCUGGAAGGUUAAGAGGAUGGGUUAGCGUAAGCGAAGCUCAGAAUUGAAGCCCCAGUAAACGGCGGCCGUAACUAUAACGGUCCUAAGGUAGCGAAAUUCCUUGUCGGGUAAGUUCCGACCCGCACGAAAGGCGUAACGAUCUGGGCACUGUCUCAACGAGAGACUCGGUGAAAUUAUAAUACCCGUGAAGAUGCGGGUUACCCGCGACAGGACGGAAAGACCCCAUGGAGCUUUACUGUAGCUUGAUAUUGGGUGUUUGUACAACUUGUACAGGAUAGGUAGGAGCCGUAGAAGUCGGAACGCUAGUUUCGAUCGAGGCGCUGGUGGGAUACUACCCUCGUUGUAUGAACACUCUAACCCUCGCCGCUUAUCGCGGCGGGAGACAGUGAAUUUGACAUACCGAUGUUAAAUGAAGCCCGUCUUGCAGUCGCGCCGCGCGCAUUAAAAGGCGGGAAAGGAAUAAAAGGCCAUAUUACAUAUAUGAGAGGGAAGAAACUAUUUUCUGAAGAAGGAUUAGAGUAUAUAACUAAUAUAAUAAGGUAGGAAACAGACUGUAUUUUUGCCGUAUAGCGCGUCAUAUCAUAUUUUGCGCUAUGCGGUUUUUAUAAUAGUUGUUUCGUAACAAGACGCUUAGUAAACGGAUGCGUAAUUUAAUUUAAAUUCAAUAUGAUACGAUAAUAUGGUUUUUGGUUUCGUAUUAUUGAACAAAAAACUAUAAAAUUAUAUGGCAAAACAAGGCAUACUGUGAUAUACUAAAACAUAUAUCAAAAUGGGCAAUAUAAAAUAUGCACAAUUAAGAAAGGAGCAUAUGAUAUGCGGGUAAAAUUUAUUUCAAAAGCGCUUUCGGCGGUUUUGUCGGCAGCUAUGCUGGUGACGUCUCUGCCGACAGCGGCGUUAGCAGUUCAGGCAGAUGAGCCGGAAGCGGCGACAGCUCAGAAGCCAAAUUUGUUAAA